GUGAGGCCUAUAAUACAAUGCUGCAUGGUUACCAGCUUCAAAAACAAAGGGCAAAACCAGCUAUUUAUCAGCGCUACUGUCACAGCUCACCAAGGAAUCGCCAUUGCACACAUACAAGCAUUUCCAGGUUCUGUCUCUGAUGGGGACUGUUGAAGAGCCAAGACUCAGAGCACUGGAUGACACACACUUAAGAAUCACAGAAGAAGAAGAAGAAGAAGAAGAAGAAGAAGAAGAAGAAGAAGAAGAAGAAGAAGAAGAAGAAGAAGAAGAAGAAGAAGUACAUCCCCGAGACAACCACCAUCAGAGUCCCUGAAUAUUGGCAUUGGUUUAUCUCGUAAUUCCUACUGCAUUGUCUUCACCUCUGGAUGGUUCUGAUGAAUUUGUCAAGAAGUAGAACCAGGGAGUGAACUCCUGGAAUCCAUUCAGAGGCUCAGCCUCACCGAGAUGGAAUCUGGAUCCCCUGGUCUGUAGUAGAAGUGAGAAGUAAGGACUUUGAAAUCUGUGAUUGAAAGUCACAAUCCAAGUUGUGGACACACUUUGGGAACUUCAUAGGAAGGCAGAGUCUCGAGGAUUGGGAGUUCAAAAAAAGACCAAGGUCUCUCAGAAUGGCCUUUUGGGUCAUGUCGUAAGGUACAAACUACAAAUGAAGAUCAUUUAUUAGAAGUACUCUCUUGGCUUCAUCUUGUAAGAUAAAGAUGUCUUGAUUUAGAGACUAUCCCUUCCUGGGGAGACAGAAGCCUCUACAGUAUGGUUUCACUUAUGUUUUGCUACAUAAAACCAUUGUCACUUUUAUCUAUAUUUCUUUCUGAUAUUAGAAAUUGGAGAGAUGGUUAUUCUACUUGAAGGCACUCCAAGAUUUAUAAAUCAAUGAAUUAAUUGCGUUUGUAAUUAUAGUUGUCUGGAGUUUGGACAUAAACUCAAGGGAGAAUUUUUGUGUUUCCCACAUUUGCAGGACAUGUUCACAUCUGCUAUGAGUAUGUAUUUGUGAUGAAAAUACCCCCCACCACUAUUUUGUUUGUUUUUCAAGAUAGGGUUUGUCUGUGUAGCCCUGGCUGUCCUUGGAACUCCCUCUGUAGACCAGGGUGGCCUUGAACUCAGAAAUCUGUCUGCUCUGUCUCCUGAGUGCUGGGAUUAAGGGUGUGCACCACCAUUAUCUAGCUGAAAAUAAACACAUUUAAAUUUUUUAUAAACACAUUUUUUAAAGGAAGCCCAAAGCAUUGUUCCUUGUAUGAAACACGUUUGUGGGAUACAGUCUUUAUAGCUUUCAUCUUCUUUUGUGUUGACAUG
RNAcentral lists this long non-coding RNA (1287 nucleotides) under Cricetulus griseus (Chinese hamster). RNAcentral describes it as "lncRNA (ENSCGRG00015036261.1)". Lineage: Eukaryota; Metazoa; Chordata; Mammalia; Rodentia; Cricetidae. The record is from RNAcentral.